AUUAAAGAGGAAAUGCAAGAGUGAUUGGAAGAUUUACCAAAUCACAGUGUCAGGAAGACAAUUCGGGCAGCAACGUGUACGAUGAUUGAGGGAAGACAUCAGAAUCAGCAGCAAGAGGGAUCCUCAAGCUCUAAAAAUAGCUCAGAUGGAAAAUGGAAGCAUUGAAAGUUUGCCUUUUCUUCACGCUUGUGUCCUAGAAUUACAGGUCUCUGAUGCUUAAGGAAACUUAUAGCACAUCUAACCCACCCAUGUAUUUUAUAGGAAAAAAUUACAUAAAUGAACUUCAAGAGUCUUCUCAACAACAUUUAGGUUAAUUUCUUUAUUUAAAAAAAA
Mustela erminea (ermine) is the source of this 333-nucleotide long non-coding RNA. RefSeq lists it as uncharacterized. NCBI's taxonomy places the organism in Eukaryota, Metazoa, Chordata, Mammalia, Carnivora, Mustelidae. The record is from RefSeq and is a predicted model, not a curated record. The transcript has 3 exons.